AGAACGAACGCUGGCGGCAGGCCUAACACAUGCAAGUCGAACGCUGUAGCAAUACAGAGUGGCAGACGGGUGAGUAACGCGUGGGAACCUUCCCAGUGGUGCGGAAUAGCUCAGGGAAACUUGAGGUAAUACCGCAUAAGCCCUUAGGGGGAAAGAUUUAUCGCCAUUGGAUGGGCCCGCGUCGGAUUAGCUAGUUGGUGAGGUAACGGCUCACCAAGGCGACGAUCCGUAGCUGGUUUGAGAGAAUGACCAGCCACACUGGGACUGAGACACGGCCCAGACUCCUACGGGAGGCAGCAGUGGGGAAUCUUGGACAAUGGGCGCAAGCCUGAUCCAGCCAUGCCGCGUGAGUGACGAAGGCCUUAGGGUUGUAAAGCUCUUUUGCCGGGGACGAUAAUGACGGUACCCGGAGAAUAAGUCCCGGCUAACUUCGUGCCAGCAGCCGC
RNAcentral lists this ribosomal RNA (446 nucleotides) under uncultured bacterium. Its description in RNAcentral is "SSU rRNA". It matches the Rfam family "Bacterial small subunit ribosomal RNA", at positions 26 to 518 of the family's 1533-position model. The record is from RNAcentral.